GCCGGCGUAGCUCAGUGGCAGAGCGACCGCCUUGUAAGCGGUAGGUCGUGGGUUCGAAUCCCACCGCCGGCU
RNAcentral lists this transfer RNA (72 nucleotides) under Pseudomonadota bacterium. Its description in RNAcentral is "tRNA-Thr". It matches the Rfam family "tRNA". From Rfam's summary of the family: Transfer RNA (tRNA) molecules are approximately 80 nucleotides in length. Their secondary structure includes four short double-helical elements and three loops (D, anti-codon, and T loops). Lineage: Bacteria; Pseudomonadati; Pseudomonadota. RNAcentral also lists the same sequence under 2 other names. The record is from RNAcentral.